This 459-nucleotide ribosomal RNA is filed under the name uncultured bacterium. RNAcentral describes it as "partial 16S ribosomal RNA". It matches the Rfam family "Bacterial small subunit ribosomal RNA", at positions 338 to 795 of the family's 1533-position model. The record is from RNAcentral.
CCUACGGGAGGCAGCAGUGAGGAAUAUUGGUCAAUGGGCGCGAGCCUGAACCAGCCAAGUCGCGUGAGGGAAGACGGUCCUAUGGAUUGUAAACCUCUUUUGUCGGGGAGCAAAAGACGCCACGCGUGGCGUUCCGAGAGUACCCGAAGAAAAAGCAUCGGCUAACUCCGUGCCAGCAGCCGCGGUAAUACGGAGGAUGCGAGCGUUAUCCGGAUUUAUUGGGUUUAAAGGGUGCGCAGGAGGAAGAGCAAGUCAGCGGUAAAAUUGAGAGGCUCAACCUCUUCGAGCCGUUGAAACUGGUUUUCGUGAGUGAGUGAGAAGUAUGCGGAAUGCGUGGUGUAGCGGUGAAAUGCAUAGAUAUCACGCAGAACUCCGAUUGCGAAGGCAGCAUACCGGCGCUCAACUGACGCUCAUGCACGAAAGUGUGGGUAUCGAACAGGAUUAGAUACCCCUGUAGUC